GGAGGCGUGGUGUAGUGGUUAACACACUGCCCUGUCAAGGCAGAGAUCGCGGGUUCGAGACCCGUCGCCUCCG
Molecule: transfer RNA, 73 nt
Filed under: Anaerolinea sp.
Lineage: Bacteria; Bacillati; Chloroflexota; Anaerolineae; Anaerolineales; Anaerolineaceae
Also listed under: 1 other name
Description: tRNA-Asp
Rfam family: tRNA
About the family: Transfer RNA (tRNA) molecules are approximately 80 nucleotides in length. Their secondary structure includes four short double-helical elements and three loops (D, anti-codon, and T loops).
Source: RNAcentral